This 204-nucleotide long non-coding RNA is filed under the name Elaeis guineensis (African oil palm). RNAcentral describes it as "long non-coding RNA (EGUI_LNC015651)". The record is from RNAcentral. Lineage: Eukaryota; Viridiplantae; Streptophyta; Magnoliopsida; Arecales; Arecaceae.
CUGGAGGAGUAUGUGAGAAUUCAUACAAGUAUAUAUUUAGUCUCAUAUUAAUUAUUUACUGAGAAAAUCUUAGAUACUUAUAUAAGACCAAGGAACCUAAAUGAUACUUUCUAGUUAAUCUUUUUGGAUGAGAUCCUGGAUUGUUACAGAAACGAACCCCCUCGACAAGAGAUCCACUUCACCACUAUUAAUUACCACAACAAU